This 384-nucleotide ribosomal RNA is filed under the name Ichthyophonus sp. RNAcentral describes it as "partial small subunit ribosomal RNA". It matches the Rfam family "Eukaryotic small subunit ribosomal RNA", at positions 587 to 975 of the family's 1831-position model. The record is from RNAcentral. Lineage: Eukaryota; Ichthyosporea; Ichthyophonida; Ichthyophonidae.
AGCUCCAAUAGCGUAUAUUAAAGUUGUUGCAGUUAAAAAGCUCGUAGUCGGAUUUCGAAUUUGUCGAUUUGGUGUUGCGCAAGUAGCUACUGAGUUGGCAAGUCUUCCUCUCGAAGAUGGCGUGUGCUCUUUGUUGAGUGUGCGUUAUAUUCGGGACGUUUACUUUGAGAAAAUUAGAGUGUUCAAAGCAGGCCAUGUUGCGCUUGAAUACAUUAGCAUGGAAUAAUGGAAUAGGAUGUCGAUUCUAUUUUGUUGGUUUCUAGAAUUGAGAUAAUGAUUGAUAGGGACAGUUGGGGGCAUUAAUAUUUAAUUGUCAGAGGUGAAAUUCUUGGAUUUAUGAAAGAUUAACUUCUGCGAAAGCAUUUGCCAAGGAUGUUUUCAUUG